AUUGAACGCUGGCGGCAUGCCUUACACAUGCAAGUCGAACGGUAACAGGUCUUCGGAUGCUGACGAGUGGCGAACGGGUGAGUAAUACAUCGGAACGUGCCCGAUCGUGGGGGAUAACGGAGCGAAAGCUUUGCUAAUACCGCAUACGAUCUACGGAUGAAAGCAGGGGACCGCAAGGCCUUGCGCGGACGGAGCGGCCGAUGGCAGAUUAGGUAGUUGGUGGGAUAAAAGCUUACCAAGCCGACGAUCUGUAGCUGGUCUGAGAGGACGACCAGCCACACUGGGACUGAGACACGGCCCAGACUCCUACGGGAGGCAGCAGUGGGGAAUUUUGGACAAUGGGCGCAAGCCUGAUCCAGCCAUGCCGCGUGCAGGAUGAAGGCCUUCGGGUUGUAAACUGCUUUUGUACAGAACGAAAAAGUCUUUAAUAACACUAGAGGCUCAUGACGGUACUGUAAGAAUAAGCACCGGCUAACUACGUG
This 482-nucleotide ribosomal RNA is filed under the name uncultured bacterium. Its description in RNAcentral is "bacterial SSU rRNA". It matches the Rfam family "Bacterial small subunit ribosomal RNA", at positions 30 to 507 of the family's 1533-position model. The record is from RNAcentral.